Molecule: microRNA precursor, 78 nt
Filed under: Schistosoma margrebowiei
Lineage: Eukaryota; Metazoa; Platyhelminthes; Trematoda; Strigeidida; Schistosomatidae
Description: mir-3492 microRNA precursor family
Rfam family: mir-3492 microRNA precursor family
Source: Rfam by way of RNAcentral
AGCCUUCUGUAUUCGUGCUGAGAUUUCGUCAUACACCAGACCACAAGGGCUGAUGAGACUUCCAAGAUAAGUGAAGCG